Molecule: ribosomal RNA, 253 nt
Filed under: uncultured bacterium
Lineage: Bacteria
Description: partial 16S ribosomal RNA
Rfam family: Bacterial small subunit ribosomal RNA
Source: RNAcentral
UACGGGGGGGGCAAGCGUUGUUCGGAAUUACUGGGCGUAAAGGGCUCGUAGGCGGCCAACUAAGUCGGACGUGAAAUCCCCAGGCUCAACCUGGGAACUGCGUCCGAUACUGGAUGGCUUGAAUCCGGGAGAGGGAUGCAGAAUUCCAGGUGUAGCGGUGAAAUGCGUAGAUAUCUGGAGGAACACCGGUGGCGAAGGCGGCAUUCUGGACUGUAACUGACACUGAGGAACGAAAGCCAGGGGAGCAAACGGG